RNAcentral lists this small RNA (29 nucleotides) under Bombyx mori (domestic silkworm). RNAcentral's name for it is "ovarian small RNA-17737". The record is from RNAcentral. Lineage: Eukaryota; Metazoa; Arthropoda; Insecta; Lepidoptera; Bombycidae.
GUCCCGAUCAGGUGGCACGCCACCUCUAC